RNAcentral lists this non-coding RNA (204 nucleotides) under Bacteroides cellulosilyticus. Lineage: Bacteria; Pseudomonadati; Bacteroidota; Bacteroidia; Bacteroidales; Bacteroidaceae. The record is from RNAcentral.
CUAUCUUUGCCCCGAAUUGGUUUCGGAUGAACAUUUCUGUCAUUUGGAUUAAAAGGGAAUCGGGUGUAAAUCCCGGACAGUCCCGCUGCUGUGAAGCUCCAUAACUUUCUUGAUAAAUACUUUAGCCACUGGCUGUGAAUUGGAGGCCGGGAAGGAAUCAGAAAGGGAGUCAGUCAGAAGACCUGCCAUUCGUUAAAGUCUGUU